Molecule: transfer RNA, 69 nt
Filed under: Xantusia vigilis
Lineage: Eukaryota; Metazoa; Chordata; Lepidosauria; Squamata; Xantusiidae
Description: tRNA-Trp
Source: RNAcentral
AGAGACUUAGGAUAAGACAAACCAAGAGCCUUCAAAGCCCAAAAUAAGAGCUAAGCCUCUUAGUCUCUG